Long non-coding RNA from Equus quagga, 1022 nucleotides. RefSeq lists it as uncharacterized. The record is from RefSeq and is a predicted model, not a curated record. NCBI's taxonomy places the organism in Eukaryota, Metazoa, Chordata, Mammalia, Perissodactyla, Equidae. The transcript has 7 exons.
UUCAUUAAGAGUGUCUCAUGCAAGCAGUGCGGGGCUAAGCAUGCUCAGUGUAAAUUCUCCUGUAGCCUGUCAAGCUAUGUUUGAACUCGUUCCAGAUUCCUGGAUUUACUUUUUUUUUUCUACCAGGAAGAAUGCUCGAUUAGACUGCAUUUUGCUCUGCUUUUCUUUUUCUUUCUUUCUUUCUUCCCUUUCUUUUUCUUUUUCUCUCUUUCUUUCCGCCAGAAGAUUGGAAACAAUAUUCUUUUCCGAUCAGUUCAGUAAUACAAUGUCCUUCAGUGUCCACAUGAGCGUUUCAGUGAAGAAGAAAAGAAACUUUGCUACCUGGGAACUGAAGACUACUUAGAUCAGUGAAUGCUAAUAAAGUCCUUAAGGACUUGCGGAGCCAGGAGUUAACUUUUCUCAACUAUUAAGUGAAGAUGCUGGUGUUCCACAUCCAAUUGCUCUCAUCUUUCCAAGACUGUGGCACUCCAGGAAAUCUUCCCUACUGAAGGGGGACCACGAGCUACAGUAUCUCUUAGAUGAAAUCAACCGCAUUGCAAACUAAAAGGAAGAAAAGUAACAAAGAACUUGAAGACUUUCAUGACUCCCAGGCCCUGGAUGGAGGCAGGCGGCACCAGACAGACAGAACCAAGAAAUCAGAGGGGCAGCCAGGAGGUGCCUGUGGCUGCAGAGCCCAGAAUUGUCUUUGGAAAAGAUUGAGAAGAGCCAGUAAACUUGGCUUCCUAACUUCUGCUUCUCAUCCCCAUCAGCAGAGAGAAAUAAUGACUCCCGAAUCAUUUCAGAAUCAAAAAGUUAAAACGAUGUCUCAAUGAUGCUACAUCAUGCCAGACACGGGCGAAUGGUUUGAAGAUAUUGGCCUAGCAAGAUGGCAACGGGUUUAAAAAAUUCAUAAGAUUCAUAGGAUUCAUAAGAAGUUACUUUUUUCAGACAUGUCAAACCCCCAAACAAGAGAAGAUACUGAGGCCUGUUGCCACAAACCCGUAGAUCCGAACUUGUGGUGAUAGUCCACACAAGCUUGUGUC